Long non-coding RNA from Athene cunicularia (burrowing owl), 620 nucleotides. RefSeq lists it as uncharacterized. The record is from RefSeq and is a predicted model, not a curated record. Lineage: Eukaryota; Metazoa; Chordata; Aves; Strigiformes; Strigidae. The transcript is spliced from 3 exons.
CCUGCCGGCCGCCGUGGGGCAGGACGCCGCCGCUGGAGGCCUGGGGCGUACCUCAGCCCUCUCCAGGGCUCCGGAAGCGGAAAACGCCACGUGGAAUAGUCCCCGGACUUCCAGCUGAUAACGCAGUUUAAGCGUGUGUGAAGAAUGGCUGUGACUCAGAGCUCUCCGGUGGCAGAGAGCUGUCUGGAAGAUGCAGCCCUCAGGUAAUGGCCCUCACCGGUGGCCUUCGUUUGGGAAAUCCCCCGAGUUUUGCACAGUGUGGCCUGUGCCCGCAGAGAUGUAAAGGAAUAACCUGCACAUGAGGCCCAGGGAGAGCUCGGGAGCCUUUUGAGGUGGGGGCUUGCUGAAGCAGCAGCUGUCGUCAGAAGAAAAGGAAUAAGGUGUUCGUGCUGCUUUGAAGAUCCCCAUUUGAAAGAGAUCUGAGAAGAUGGGAACUUACAGUCCGCUCUUUGAAUGCAACUGCUAGAGAAGUACUUGUAACCUGACACAUCAGAGGUGGUUGGGAGCAAGGUUUAACAAAAAUUACAUAAACAAUUUGUUAAUUGUUAAUCCCUUCUCAUGACUUGUUUAAAAUGGUAUUUUUUCAGUGACCUCUAUUUAUUAAACUUCUUUAUAUUUAA